Molecule: ribosomal RNA, 468 nt
Filed under: uncultured bacterium
Lineage: Bacteria
Description: partial 16S ribosomal RNA
Rfam family: Bacterial small subunit ribosomal RNA
Source: RNAcentral
GACGAACGCUGGCGGCGUGCUUAACACAUGCAAGUCGAACGGAAAGGCCCUGCUUUUGUGGGGUGCUCGAGUGGCGAACGGGUGAGUAACACGUGAGUAACCUGCCCUUGACUUUGGGAUAACUUCAGGAAACUGGGGCUAAUACCGGAUAGGAGCUCCUGCUGCAUGGUGGGGGUUGGAAAGUUUCGGCGGUUGGGGAUGGACUCGCGGCUUAUCAGCUUGUUGGUGGGGUAGUGGCUUACCAAGGCUUUGACGGGUAGCCGGCCUGAGAGGGUGACCGGCCACAUUGGGCCUGAGAUACGGACCAGACGGCAACGGGAGGCAGCAGUGGGGAAUAUUGCAGAAUGGGCGGAAGCCUGAUGCAGCAACGCCGCGUGCGGGAUGACGGCCUUCGGGUUGUAAACCGCUUUCGCCUGUGACGAAGCGUGAGUGACGGUAAUGGGUAAAGAAGCACCGGCUAACUACGUG